AGCAAGAUAACAAAAACAAAAAAGUAUUGUGGUCAAUUUGAGAAAAUCAAAACAAUUAAGAGGGGAAAAGAUUUUGCCUGCUCCAAUCUCCGUCACUACCGGAGAAGCAAAACCGCUCGGAGGUUCCCGCCGGCGACCGCCACCUUACGACGUCGUACCGCAGAACCUCACAAGACCCUAAUCACAAGAAAUCUCGAUAUAUUGUUCCAUUUUAUGAUCAGUUUUAAAGAUGAGUAGGCUCUAUGAUGGGUGGAAUGAGAUUUUAAAGAUUCAGAAGUUCCGAAGAGCAGUGGGAAAAACUAUAUUCUUUUCUUUCUCGGCGCUCAUUAGCUAUGCAUACAACUCGAAUACGUACGUAUACCGCUAUUGAUUGCAUUUGAAAGGUAAGGUUUUAUAAUCUUCUUUGUUUUCCCUCAUUUAAUCUUGCAGGACAAGAGCUGGGUUUUCCAGAGGUGAUCAAUUUUAUGCAUCAUAUCCUGCAGGGAGUGAGCUUUUGACCGAUACUACUAAGGUAACUUGUAUCAUAUUGUUCUGGAAAAAAAAUUGUUUGUUAAUCAGAGUUUUGAAAGCUUUUAGUUUGUGGUUAGUUGUAUAAAUCUGCACUGGGGAAUUGUUUUGAAGUGGAAGAAUGGGGCCCGAUUGAAUGGUCCAUAAUGGCUAAACAUUUCGAGCGUCAAGGGAAAUCACCGUAUGCAUAUCAUGCUCAAUACCAGGCUCACAUUGCCUCUAAUGGACAUCUUGAUGGAAGUGGAUGAAGCCAAAAUCCAGCAUGAGAAGGAGACAAGAUUUUGUUAACGUUAGUUGUUCUUUAAUUCCAAAGUAUAUGUUUCUCAACACUCAUACUACAUGUUGGCUGCCAUCUUCAAGCAAUUUGAACAAACUAACUGAUCAAUAAAAGCCAUAGAUCCAUUUAGUUUAGUUAUGGGGGUGUUUGGGUUUGAUCAUAUAAACACAUAUCCUAUCUACCUAUUUUCUUAUAAAUAAAUAAAAGAUUAUUAUUAUU
Molecule: long non-coding RNA, 1003 nt
Filed under: Helianthus annuus (common sunflower)
Lineage: Eukaryota; Viridiplantae; Streptophyta; Magnoliopsida; Asterales; Asteraceae
Description: hypothetical non coding rna
Source: RNAcentral